AUACAGCAAUCAUUUUUUUUUUACAAAGAAAUAUUUACCCAAUGCACCAGGAAAGUAUUCAUGACGAAUACGUUGGUGCUAAGAUGAUUAUGAAACACAGAUUGUUCUUGUUCCUGUCAAAAAAGGUCAAUUGCAGCUAGGAAUAAUAUAUUUAGUGCAGUAGUCCCAGAUUACAUAAAUUGUCACACUUGCAUUGCAACUCAUGCAAUUAAUCUAUUCAUACAAUAUUCAACACACAGACGUGGUAUAAGAUUAUUUCAAAAUGAAAAUUCAUCUAAAUGAAUAAAACACACAAAACAACUACAUUUGGAAGAUGAUGAAAAUAACAUUUUUUCUUGUUCUUUUGUCUCUUGAACGCCAUUUUAGUCAACAUGUGGUAAUACAAAACGACGCCAUAAUUGGACCGGAAGUUAUAGAAGAUUAAAGAAGAGGAGCAAUAACGAUAUGAAUUAUUUUCCCAGAGGAACCUAGAACGUCAACAGAAGUACACAGCUAAUCGUUUUUAGACUAAAAAUCUAAAAUCGUAAGUUCGAUUGAUAUAUACAACACUAUCGUGAGAAGCAGAUACAACAUAUAUAUCUUCUUGGAUCAACAUAUUAUCUUCUAACAGCACUGUAUACGAUCAAAACAAGUAAAAAACGUUUUAUAAUUGGCCUGUUAUACAUUACUAAUUGGUCAAGUAAAUGAACUUCACUGAGAACAAUAAAAGUAAAAUCUCAUUGAUUGUUAUUAGGACUUUUGACUUUGUCAUCGCCAAUAUCUCUAACAGUAACCAAAAAGAGGUUAAUUUGUAUCCUUAUUAUUAUCCUUUGUAAUUUGAAAAGAAAUGGUAUUGUUAUAGAAAAGUAAACUAAGUUUCAAUAUUUUAUAAUCGACACCAAGAAUAUCUAAUGGUACUCUGGGAAACGUUGAAAUAUUCAGGACGUACUGUCGUGAUGAAACAAGGUAAGAUUUCGACAAACAUAGUGUACAUCAAAGUGGAUAAAUGUAAUGCAAAAAGUGAAUUGGUGUAGUGCAAAAAGUAAAUUGGUGUAGUGCAAAAAGUGAAUUGGUGUAGUGCAAAAAGUAAAUUGGUGUAGUGCAAAAAGUGAAUUGGUGUAGUGCAAAAAUCGACAUAGUAUGACUUAAAUUUUCUUUCAUUGCUUUCUGUAAAACUAAUUUGUUAAAACAUAUGAACCGUUUAGCCUUUCUUCAAAUAAAUUCACACCAAAUUCUUCUUGAAAGUAUUCCAAUCUGGAUUUGUGCAU
Mytilus californianus (California mussel) is the source of this 1247-nucleotide long non-coding RNA. RefSeq lists it as uncharacterized. Lineage: Eukaryota; Metazoa; Mollusca; Bivalvia; Mytilida; Mytilidae. The record is from RefSeq and is a predicted model, not a curated record. The transcript is spliced from 3 exons.